CUCAGAACAGAAUAAAAUGUCU
This 22-nucleotide small nuclear RNA is filed under the name Arabidopsis thaliana (thale cress). Its description in RNAcentral is "snRNA_01489". The record is from RNAcentral. Lineage: Eukaryota; Viridiplantae; Streptophyta; Magnoliopsida; Brassicales; Brassicaceae.